This 433-nucleotide ribosomal RNA is filed under the name uncultured bacterium. RNAcentral's name for it is "partial 16S ribosomal RNA". It matches the Rfam family "Bacterial small subunit ribosomal RNA", at positions 28 to 507 of the family's 1533-position model. The record is from RNAcentral.
GACGAACGCUGGCGGCAUGCCUAACACAUGCAAGUCGAACGAAAACUUCGGGUCUAGGGUCGCACGGGUGCGUAAGGCGUGGGAACCUGCCCUUGGGUACGGAAUAACUCUCCGAAAGGGGUGCCAAUACCGGAUAAUGUCUUCGGACCAAAGAUUUAUCGACUUUGUAUGGGCCCGCGUUGAAUUAGCUAGUUGGUAGGGUAAAAGCCUACCAAGGCGACGAUCCAUAGCUGGUCUGAGAGGAUGAUCAGCCACUCUGGGACUGAGACACGGCCCAGACUCCUACGCGAUGCAGCAGUGGGGGAUAGUGGACAGUGGCGGAAAGGCUGAUGGAGCAAUGCCGCGUGAGUGAUGAAGUUCUUAGGGUUGUAAAGCGCUUGUAACCAUGAUGAUAAUGACGGUACCGGGUGAAUAAGCUCCGGCUAACUCCGUG